UAGGCGCAGCAAACAGCUUUGCACUUCAGGGAACAGCGAUAUACCCUUCACUCAGGGGGCAGUAAACUGCUUUACUGGGAUAACUUACAUUCCUCAGGCAAAAUCCAGGGCUUUGCCAAAUGGCUCACUUUGAUCUGAGACAAGCGACUGUCUGUCCCUUUCGGCUAGAAGCGCCCUUCCCCCUCCUCAUCUUCCCCUCACACUGGCACUUCCGCGCUGCCCCCUCCCCUCCCCACGCCGCCUCUCAGCUUCUUCACCUCCCCCUCCUCGCGGAGCACUGUCCAGAGUGGCUUCCCGCCGCGUCAUUUUACCCCAGAAAAAUUGUCGCACGUAAAAAGCAACUUGAGGAUAAAAUGACCUCGUCAUCUCGUGCUCGUGCUGUCACCCCCGCGCUGAGCCGGCAGGCACAGGACAUUUUGCUGCCGCCUCACUUCCACCCCGUCUCCUCACAUUUAAUUUCAGGCCUUUUCAGAUGUAAUAGUCCCCAGCUUUGGAAAACUUCCACAAAGCGUGAAGGGAAAACAGGAGCAGCCCUUGACACCUUGAAGGUCACUCCAAGCAAGUGGCUCAUCUCUGCCUGUGGAAAACUACAUUGAUCUGCCUGUGGAAAACUAAAAUUACUUCCCUGGAA
Long non-coding RNA from Pseudopipra pipra, 631 nucleotides. RefSeq lists it as uncharacterized. Lineage: Eukaryota; Metazoa; Chordata; Aves; Passeriformes; Pipridae. The record is from RefSeq and is a predicted model, not a curated record. The transcript has 2 exons.